CUUGCUACUUUGCCGGCGAGCGGCGGACGGGUGAGUAAUGUCUGGGAAACUGCCUGAUGGAGGGGGAUAACUACUGGAAACGGUAGCUAAUACCGCAUGACCUCGCAAGAGCAAAGUGGGGGACCUUCGGGCCUCACGCCAUCGGAUGUGCCCAGAUGGGAUUAGCUAGUAGGUGGGGUAAUGGCUCACCUAGGCGACGAUCCCUAGCUGGUCUGAGAGGAUGACCAGCCACACUGGAACUGAGACACGGUCCAGACUCCUACGGGAGGCAGCAGUGGGGAAUAUUGCACAAUGGGCGCAAGCCUGAUGCAGCCAUGCCGCGUGUGUGAAGAAGGCCUUCGGGUUGUAAAGCACUUUCAGCGAGGAGGAAGGGUAUCGUGUUAAUAGCACGGUACAUUGACGUUACUCGCAGAAGAAGCACCGGCUAACUCCGUGCCAGCAGCCGCGGUAAUACGGAGGGUGCAAGCGUUAAUCGGAAUUACUGGGCGUAAAGCGCACGCAGGCGGUUUGUUAAGUCAGAUGUGAAAUCCCCGAGCUUAACUUGGGAACUGCAUUUGAAACUGGCAAGCUAGAGUCUUGUAGAGGGGGGUAGAAUUCCAGGUGUAGCGGUGAAAUGCGUAGAGAUCUGGAGGAAUACCGGUGGCGAAGGCGGCCCCCUGGACAAAGACUGACGCUCAGGUGCGAAAGC
RNAcentral lists this ribosomal RNA (688 nucleotides) under Rahnella sp. 18ANAV. Its description in RNAcentral is "bacterial SSU rRNA". It matches the Rfam family "Bacterial small subunit ribosomal RNA", at positions 73 to 760 of the family's 1533-position model. The record is from RNAcentral. Lineage: Bacteria; Pseudomonadati; Pseudomonadota; Gammaproteobacteria; Enterobacterales; Yersiniaceae.